UAGGGAAUCUUCCACAAUGGACGCAAGUCUGAUGGAGCAACGCCGCGUGAGUGAAGAAGGUUUUCGGACCGUAAAGCUCUGUUGUUGGUGAAGAAGGAUAGAGGUAGUAACUGGCCUUUAUUUGACGGUAAUCAACCAGAAAGUCACGGCUAACUACGUGCCAGCAGCCGCGGUAAUACGUAGGUGGCAAGCGUUGUCCGGAUUUAUUGGGCGUAAAGCGAGCGCAGGCGGAAGAAUAAGUCUGAUGUGAAAGCCCUCGGCUUAACCGAGGAAUUGCAUCGGAAACUGUUUUCUUGAGUGCAGAAGAGGAGAGUAGAA
RNAcentral lists this ribosomal RNA (318 nucleotides) under uncultured bacterium. RNAcentral describes it as "partial 16S ribosomal RNA". It matches the Rfam family "Bacterial small subunit ribosomal RNA", at positions 355 to 666 of the family's 1533-position model. The record is from RNAcentral.